AGAAUGACUCUCGGCAACGGAUAUCUAGGCUCUUGCAUCGAUGAAGAACGUAGCGAAAUGCGAUACUUGGUGUGAAUUGCAGAAUCCCGUGAACCAUCGAGUCUUUGAACGCAAGUUGCGCUCGAUGCCAUUAGGUUGAGGGCACGUCUGCCUGGGUGUCACAU
RNAcentral lists this ribosomal RNA (164 nucleotides) under Lathyrus pannonicus subsp. collinus. RNAcentral describes it as "5.8S ribosomal RNA". It matches the Rfam family "5.8S ribosomal RNA". From Rfam's summary of the family: 5.8S ribosomal RNA (5.8S rRNA) is a component of the large subunit of the eukaryotic ribosome. It is transcribed by RNA polymerase I as part of the 45S precursor that also contains 18S and 28S rRNA. Functionally, it is thought that 5.8S rRNA may be involved in ribosome translocation. The record is from RNAcentral. Lineage: Eukaryota; Viridiplantae; Streptophyta; Magnoliopsida; Fabales; Fabaceae. RNAcentral also lists the same sequence under 1 other name.